This 481-nucleotide ribosomal RNA is filed under the name uncultured bacterium. RNAcentral's name for it is "partial 16S ribosomal RNA". It matches the Rfam family "Bacterial small subunit ribosomal RNA", at positions 28 to 507 of the family's 1533-position model. The record is from RNAcentral.
GAUGAACGCUGGCGGCGUGCCUAACACAUGCAAGUCGAACGGAGAUUACGGACGGAAGUUUUCGGAUGGAAGCCUGUAAUUCUUAGUGGCGGACGGGUGAGUAACGCGUGGGCAACCUGCCCUAUACAGGGGGAUAGCAGCUGGAAACGGCUGGUAAGACCGCAUAAGUCGGUUAAAUCGCAUGAUUUGAUCGGGAAAUGAGCAAUCAGGUAUAGGAUGGGCCCGCGUCCGAUUAGCCAGUUGGCAGGGUAAAAGCCUACCAAAGCGAAGAUCGGUAGCCGGACUGAGAGGUCGGACGGCCACAUUGGGACUGAGCCACGGCCCAAACUCCUACGGGAGGCAGCAGUGGGGGAUAUUGCACAAUGGAGGAAACUCUGAUGCAGCGACGCCGCGUGAGUGAAGAAGUAUUUCGGUAUGUAAAGCUCUAUCAGCAGGGAAGAUGAUGACGGUACCUGACUAAGAAGCCCCGGCUAACUACGUG